Molecule: long non-coding RNA, 1139 nt
Filed under: Cyanistes caeruleus (blue tit)
Lineage: Eukaryota; Metazoa; Chordata; Aves; Passeriformes; Paridae
Description: lncRNA (ENSCCEG00000019544.1)
Source: RNAcentral
GAAUGAACACCCCGAGCUGGGUGACGGGCGCUGUCCCUCAGCCGAGGGGAGCAGGAGCGGCUGUCGUGGGUGUUCGUGCCGCUGCCUUCAGACGCCGCCGGGGCCGCACGGACCGCCCCGCACGCCCUUCAGCUGAAGGGAGCCAGGGCUGGGAACUGGCUCCGUCCUUCUGCACAGCCACGUCAGGAGUUUUCCCAGAAGUAGCCAGAAAGCUCCGGUAAUGCGGUGAGCUCCCAAUGAAAGAGCGGGGCUGCCGGGCUGCCAGCGCCGCGUAAAAUGCUAAAUCACGGCUCUGCGUAGUGGCCGUGACUGGUCCCUUGGCAGCCUCACCCGCGGGUAACCUCCCGAGCCCAGGGGAGGCAAGACUGAGGUGUGGUACAUCAAACUGCAAAAGCCCCCGAACUUCCCCCCCAUCUCUCCUCCAUGCAACUCCCGGCCCGUUCGCGGGCGCCGUGAGCCUGGCGGCAGCUGGUGCGCCCCUGCAGCAAGGCAGGAGUCGUGUUUGCUAAAGCACUAAUCGCCUUUCUAGUGGGGGGAUUCAAGCGCACUGGCAGCGGGAUGUCAGCAGCCCCUCCGGCCCCACCGCGCGGUACCAGCAUCACUUACUGGACCGCCCGGGUUUGGCGGCAGGACGGUGCUGUCCUGCCCGCAGACCUGCUGCCCGCAGCACACGCGAGAUGGCGAGCCUUGGGAAUGACCGCGCUGAAGCCUCGCUCCCUCCCUGACCGGGGACAGACAGCCCUUGCCACGGCAGGACCGUCGGACUCACCCUGCUGGAAACAUCGCCUAGCCGGAAGACAGCACCGGGAGAAAGGGGAAAACAGCGCCUCUGGUUCGAGGGGCUUUCCAGGAGCAGAAGAAAGAUAUGAAGCCUUCAUGAAAGACCAGAGGCCAGAGACAACCACCUGCUCAAAACACUCUCAAACCACUUCUCUGUUUACAAGUUUUACCACAACCUGCAAACACCUGGAGUACUAAAACCACACAGAGGCCAAGUACCUUCUGCUGGACGACACUUCAGAACAGGCAAGAUCAGAUAAAUUCAAAAAGCUCAGAAUCUACAAGUCCUUCUCCUGACCACAGAGUGGGUAUAGACUGUCAGUCAGAGAGGAAGUGCCUUCCAGCCCUCUUCUACCCUC